UUUAGUGGCGCACGGGUGCGUAACGCGUAUGCAACCUACCUUUAUUGGGGGAUAGCCCGAAGAAAUUCGGAUUAAUACCGCAUAAUAUCAUUUGAGGGCAUCUGAGGAUGAUUAAAGCUACGGCGAUAAAAGAUGGGCAUGCGUGUCAUUAGCUAGUUGGUGAGGUAACGGCUCACCAAGGCGACGAUGACUAGGGGUUCUGAGAGGAUGAUCCCCCACACUGGUACUGAGAUACGGACCAG
Molecule: ribosomal RNA, 242 nt
Filed under: uncultured bacterium
Lineage: Bacteria
Description: partial 16S ribosomal RNA
Rfam family: Bacterial small subunit ribosomal RNA
Source: RNAcentral